Molecule: unclassified non-coding RNA, 391 nt
Filed under: soil metagenome
Description: partial contains 5.8S ribosomal RNA, internal transcribed spacer 2, and large subunit ribosomal RNA
Rfam family: 5.8S ribosomal RNA (bases 1-122)
Source: RNAcentral
GAUGAAGAACGGAGCGAAAUGCGAUACUUGGUGUGAAUUGCAGAAUCCCGUGAACCAUCGAGUCUUUGAACGCAAGUUGCGCCCGAAGCCAUUAGGCCGAGGGCACGCCUGCCUGGGUGUCACACGUCGUUGCCCCCCCAUCUACUCCUUCGGGAUUGCGGGGGGCGGAUGAUGGCCUCCCGUGCGCCUCGUCGCGCGGUUGGCAUAAAUGCCAAGUCCUCGGCGACGCACGCCACGACAAUCGGUGGUUGCGAAACCUCGGUUGCCCGUCGUGUGCGGUCGUCGCGCAUCGAGGGCUCGAAAAAAUUGCCGGGCUCCGGCUCGGCUUUCAACGCGACCCCAGGUCAGGCGGGGUUACCCGCUGAAUUUAAGCAUAUCAAUAAGCGGAGGA